RNAcentral lists this ribosomal RNA (314 nucleotides) under uncultured bacterium. RNAcentral's name for it is "bacterial SSU rRNA". It matches the Rfam family "Bacterial small subunit ribosomal RNA", at positions 183 to 520 of the family's 1533-position model. The record is from RNAcentral.
GCCCCGCAAGGGGAAAAGAUUUUAUCGCCAAAUGAUCGGUCCCGCGUCUGAUUAGCUAGUUGGUGGGGUAACGGCCCACCAAGGCGACGAUCAUUAGCUGGUCUGAGUAGGAUGAUCAGCCUCACUGGGACUGAGACACGGCCCAUACUCCUACGGGAGGCAGCAGUGGAGAAUCUUGUACAAUGGGCGCAAGCCUGAUCCAGCCAUGCCGCGUGGGUGAUGAAGGCCCUAUGGUUGUAAAGCCCUUUCGGCGGGAAAGAUAAUGACGGUACCCGCAGAAGAAGCCCCGGCUAACUUCGUGCCAGCAGCCGCGG